Molecule: ribosomal RNA, 429 nt
Filed under: Gemmatimonadota bacterium
Lineage: Bacteria; Pseudomonadati; Gemmatimonadota
Description: Gemmatimonadetes bacterium partial 16S ribosomal RNA
Rfam family: Bacterial small subunit ribosomal RNA
Source: RNAcentral
UAGGGAAUCUUCGGCAAUGGACGAAAGUCUGACCGAGCAACGCCGCGUGAGUGAAGAAGGUUUUCGGAUCGUAAAACUCUGUUGUUAGAGAAGAACAAGGACGUUAGUAACUGAACGUCCCCUGACGGUAUCUAACCAGAAAGCCACGGCUAACUACGUGCCAGCAGCCGCGGUAAGACGUAGGUGGCAAGCGUUGUCCGGAUUUAUUGGGCGUAAAGCGAGCGCAGGCGGUUUCUUAAGUCUGAUGUGAAAGCCCCCGGCUCAACCGGGGAGGGUCAUUGGAAACUGGGAGACUUGAGUGCAGAAGAGGAGAGUGGAAUUCCAUGUGUAGCGGUGAAAUGCGUAGAUAUAUGGAGGAACACCAGUGGCGAAGGCGGCUCUCUGGUCUGUAACUGACGCUGAGGCUCGAAAGCGUGGGGAGCAAACAGG